RNAcentral lists this unclassified non-coding RNA (645 nucleotides) under uncultured Prochlorococcus sp. Its description in RNAcentral is "partial 16S-23S ribosomal RNA intergenic spacer; may also contain 16S ribosomal RNA and 23S ribosomal RNA". The stretch from base 306 to 378 matches the Rfam family "tRNA". Lineage: Bacteria; Bacillati; Cyanobacteriota; Cyanophyceae; Synechococcales; Prochlorococcaceae. The record is from RNAcentral.
UUGUGGAGGAGGACGCCGAAGGUGGGGCUAAUGACUGGGGUGAAGUCGUAACAAGGUAGCCGUACCGGAAGGUGCGGCUGGAUCACCUCCUAACAGGGAGACAACAAAAUGUUUAAUAUUAUUAUUUUGUCACCUUAGGUCGAUCGGUAUCUCACAUCCUUAAAUUAAUUAAGGAUUUUAUUUCCUAAGUUUUUCUAGGUCACACCCAUUAUUUUUCCUGGGCCAUUAGCUCAGGUGGUUAGAGCGCACCCCUGAUAAGGGUGAGGUCCCUGGUUCAAGUCCAGGAUGGCCCAUAUCUCUAUGUUGGGGGUAUAGCUCAGUUGGUAGAGCGCCUGCUUUGCAAGCAGGAUGUCAGCGGUUCGAGUCCGCUUACCUCCACUGAUUACCACCUCUUCCAUAAUUUGUAAGGAAAUGUUUUGAGUUGUGAUCAAAUUCUGAGCGAAUCUAGCUUCCUAAUGAAAUCAUUAAGAUGCUGGACUCAUUGAAUUAAAUUCAUUGUUUUCAGAGAACCUUGACAACUGCAUAGAUUAUUUUUAAAGACAAUAAGCAUCUUUAAUGAUGCAGAUUUAUUAUUUGUGCGAAUGCAUUAAUAACAAUUCUAUUAAGCUGAUGCUUCAAUUUUUGAAGUUAUUGGUCAAGCUACAA